Molecule: small nuclear RNA, 139 nt
Filed under: Sphaeramia orbicularis (orbiculate cardinalfish)
Lineage: Eukaryota; Metazoa; Chordata; Actinopteri; Kurtiformes; Apogonidae
Description: U4 spliceosomal RNA (ENSSORG00005020804.1)
Rfam family: U4 spliceosomal RNA
About the family: U4 small nuclear RNA (U4 snRNA) is a component of the major U2-dependent spliceosome. The structure of U4 snRNA from yeast and human has been reported.
Source: Rfam by way of RNAcentral
AUCUUUGCGCAGUGGCAGUAUUGUAGUCUAUGAGGUUUAUCCGAGACAUGAUUAUUGCUAGUUGAAAACUUUACCCAAUACCUUGCCUUGCUGGCUUGAAAUAGUCGGCAACGGCAAUUUUUGAUAGUCUCUCAGGAGA